Molecule: non-coding RNA, 464 nt
Organism: Pelobates cultripes (western spadefoot toad)
Lineage: Eukaryota; Metazoa; Chordata; Amphibia; Anura; Pelobatidae
Source: the annotation of a GenBank genome assembly
CAUCUAUUUAACAGUUCUUAUAUAGUACACAUAUCUAAAAAACCAUGUCUGUGUGCUUAGAAUCUAGAAAGGAAUGUAUAUUGGAAAAAAAUCUGUGUGUAUAUUGAAUCUGUAUAUUGAAUUUUACAUUGAAAAUAUAGGCUGUUCACUCUGAUAAAGAAAACAUGGCCAAUAAAGUUAAGUGAAGAGUUGGAAUGCAUGGAACGCACAGACGGAACAGCUAUACAGCACGGAUUAUUGCCGCAACGAAUGACGUCAUAUGAAGAGGAAGGGGAUCGAAGGAGAAGAAAGCGUGUGCUCUCAAUCUGCAAUCAUAGAUGGCAUAUAAGAAACCAUUCACCUGGGAAGAUCAUAAGCAACUGAGGAAGCCUAUUUGAGAGGCGAAACGCAUAUUGCUACCCACAUGUGGACUUUAUAAUUAUUAUUUUUAUUUCUGUUUAUCCAAGUGUUUUAUUAUAUUACCA